Molecule: long non-coding RNA, 101 nt
Organism: Gopherus evgoodei (Goodes thornscrub tortoise)
Lineage: Eukaryota; Metazoa; Chordata; Testudines; Testudinidae
Exons: 3
Source: RefSeq, a predicted model, not a curated record
CCUAGUUGGUUCCUCCAGCAUUUGCAUCAGAACGUUGUCCGCAACACUCUCCAAAAACAUCCUGGAUUGUCUAUGCACUGCUGGGUUGGUCUCCCAGCAGA